This 505-nucleotide ribosomal RNA is filed under the name uncultured bacterium. RNAcentral's name for it is "partial 16S ribosomal RNA". It matches the Rfam family "Bacterial small subunit ribosomal RNA", at positions 28 to 507 of the family's 1533-position model. The record is from RNAcentral.
GACGAACGCUGGCGGCGUGCCUAAUACAUGCAAGUAGAACGCACAGUUUAUCCCGUAGCUUGCUACACCAUAAACUGUGAGUUGCGAACGUGUGAGUAACGCGUAGGUAACCUGCCUGGUAGCGGGGGAUAACUAUUGGAAACGAUAGCUAAUACCGCAUAAUAUUGAUUAUUGCAUGAUAAUUGAUUGAAAGAUGCUAUUGCAUCACUACCAGAUGGACCUGCGUUGUAUUAGCUAGUAGGUGAGGUAACGGCUCACCUAGGCGACGAGACAUAGCCGACCUGAGAGGGUGAUCGGCCACACUGGGACUGAGACACGGCCCAGACUCCUACGGGAGGCAGCAGUAGGGAAUCUUCGGCAAUGGACGGAAGUCUGACCGAGCAACGCCGCGUGAGUGAAGAAGGUUUUCGGAUCGUAAAGCUCUGUUGUAAGAGAAGAACGGGUGUGAGAGUGGAAAGUUCACACUGUGACGGUAUCUUACCAGAAAGGGACGGCUAACUACGUG